GUCCCUGUCGUCCAACGGCUCAGGAUCUCGGACUUUCAAUCCGAGGACGCCGGUUCGAUUCCGGCCGGGGACA
RNAcentral lists this transfer RNA (73 nucleotides) under Sandaracinaceae bacterium. Its description in RNAcentral is "tRNA-Glu". It matches the Rfam family "tRNA". From Rfam's summary of the family: Transfer RNA (tRNA) molecules are approximately 80 nucleotides in length. Their secondary structure includes four short double-helical elements and three loops (D, anti-codon, and T loops). Lineage: Bacteria; Pseudomonadati; Myxococcota; Polyangiales; Sandaracinaceae. The record is from RNAcentral.